GAUGAACGCUGGCGGCGUGCCUAAUACAUGCAAGUCGAGCGAACAGACGAGGAGCUUGCUCCUCUGACGUUAGCGGCGGACGGGUGAGUAACACGUGGAUAACCUACCUAUAAGACUGGGAUAACUUCGGGAAACCGGAGCUAAUACCGGAUAAUACAUUGAACCGCAUGGUUCAAUAGUGAAAGACGGUUUUGCUGUCACUUAUAGAUGGAUCCGCGCCGCAUUAGCUAGUUGGUAAGGUAACGGCUUACCAAGGCGACGAUGCGUAGCCGACCUGGGAGGGUGAUCGGCCACACUGGAACUGAGACACGGUCCAGACUCCUACGGGAGGCAGCAGUAGGGAAUCUUCCGCAAUGGGCGAAAGCCUGACGGAGCAACGCCGCGUGAGUGAUGAAGGUCUUCGGAUCGUAAAACUCUGUUAUUAGGGAAGAACAAAUGUGUAAGUAACUAUGCACGUCUUGACGGUACCUAAUCAGAAAGCCACGGCUAACUACGUG
Molecule: ribosomal RNA, 497 nt
Filed under: uncultured bacterium
Lineage: Bacteria
Description: partial 16S ribosomal RNA
Rfam family: Bacterial small subunit ribosomal RNA
Source: RNAcentral